RNAcentral lists this ribosomal RNA (510 nucleotides) under uncultured bacterium. Its description in RNAcentral is "bacterial SSU rRNA". It matches the Rfam family "Bacterial small subunit ribosomal RNA", at positions 28 to 526 of the family's 1533-position model. The record is from RNAcentral.
GACGAACGCUGGCGGCGUGCCUAACACAUGCAAGUCGAACGGAAAUACACGCGGAGACUGAGACAGCUUGCUGAGGAAGAAUCUUGUGUAUUUUAGUGGCGGACGGGUGAGUAACGCGUGAGUAACCUGCCUUUCAGAGGGGGAUAACGUUCUGAAAAGAACGCUAAUACCGCAUGACGCUUUUGUACCGCAUGGUGCGAAAGUCAAAGGAGCAAUCCGCUGAAAGAUGGACUCGCGUCCGAUUAGAUAGUUGGUGAGAUAACGGCCCACCAAGUCGACGAUCGGUAGCCGGACUGAGAGGUUGAUCGGCCACAUUGGGACUGAGACACGGCCCAGACUCCUACGGGAGGCAGCAGUGAGGAAUAUUGGGCAAUGGGGGCAACCCUGACCCAGCAACGCCGCGUGAGGGAAGACGGUUUUCGGAUUGUAAACCUCUGUCCUCUGUGAAGAUAAUGACGGUAGCAGAGGAGGAAGCCACGGCUAACUACGUGCCAGCAGCCGCCGUAAAAC